RNAcentral lists this non-coding RNA (21 nucleotides) under Arabidopsis thaliana (thale cress). Lineage: Eukaryota; Viridiplantae; Streptophyta; Magnoliopsida; Brassicales; Brassicaceae. The record is from RNAcentral.
UUGAAGGCCUACUUUGAUGCU